RNAcentral lists this ribosomal RNA (253 nucleotides) under uncultured bacterium. RNAcentral describes it as "partial 16S ribosomal RNA". It matches the Rfam family "Bacterial small subunit ribosomal RNA", at positions 524 to 776 of the family's 1533-position model. The record is from RNAcentral.
UACGAAGGGGGCUAGCGUUGUUCGGAAUUACUGGGCGUAAAGCGUGCGCAGGCGGCUUCUCAAGUCAGGGGUGAAAGCCCAGAGCUCAACUCUGGAAUUGCCUUUGAGACUGAGUGGCUUGAGUACGAGAGAGGUGAGUGGAAUUCCCAGUGUAGAGGUGAAAUUCGUAGAUAUUGGGAAGAACACCGGUGGCGAAGGCGGGUCUCUGGGUAGUAACUGACGCUGAGGAACGAAAGCGUGGGUAGCGAACAGG